AGCAGCCGCGGUAAUUCCAGCUCCAAUAGCGUAUAUUAAAGUUGCUGCAGUUAAAAAGCUCGUAGUUGAAUUUCGGGACCAUCAUGUCGGUCGUGCCUCGGUACGUACUGGCAUUGUUGGUUUCUCCCUUCUGACGAACCAUGAUGUCAUUUAUUUGGUGUCGUGGGAAAUCAGGACUGUUACUUUGAAAAAAUUAGAGUGUUUAAAGCAGGCUCACGCUUGAAUACAUUAGCAUGGAAUAAUGAAAUAGGACGUUUGAUUCUAUUUUGUUGGUUUCUAGGAUCGACGUAAUGAUUAAUAGGGAUAGUUGGGGGCAUUAGUAUUCAAUUGUCAGAGGUGAAAUUCUUGGAUUUAUUGAAGACUAACUACUGCGAAAGCAUUUGCCAAGGAUGUUUUCAUUAAUCAAGAACGAAAGUUAGGGGAUCGAAGACGAUCAGAUACCGUCGUAGUCUUAACCAUAAACUAUGCCGACUAGGGAUCGGAUGAUGUUAAUUUUUUAAUGACUCAUUCGGCGCCUUACG
RNAcentral lists this ribosomal RNA (521 nucleotides) under uncultured Glomeromycotina. RNAcentral's name for it is "SSU rRNA". It matches the Rfam family "Eukaryotic small subunit ribosomal RNA", at positions 569 to 1092 of the family's 1831-position model. The record is from RNAcentral. Lineage: Eukaryota; Fungi; Glomeromycota.